RNAcentral lists this ribosomal RNA (500 nucleotides) under uncultured bacterium. RNAcentral's name for it is "partial 16S ribosomal RNA". It matches the Rfam family "Bacterial small subunit ribosomal RNA", at positions 30 to 523 of the family's 1533-position model. The record is from RNAcentral.
AUUGAACGCUGGCGGAAUGCUUUACACAUGCAAGUCGAACGGCAGCACGGACUUCGGUCUGGUGGCGAGUGGCGAACGGGUGAGUAAUGUAUCGGAACGAGCUCAGUCGUGGGUGAUAACGUUGCGAUAAUGAAGCUAAAACCGCAUACGAUCUAUGGAUGAAAGCGGGGGCACGCAAGUCCUAGAGCGAUGGGAGCGGCCGAUAUCAGAUUAGGUAGUUGGGUGGAUAAACGCCCACCAAGCCAACGAUCUGUAGCUGGUCUGAGAGGACGACCAGCCACACUGGAACUGAGACACGGUCCAGACUCCUACGGGAGGCAGCAGUGGGUAAUUUUGUACAAUGGGCGAAAGCAUGAUCCAACCAUUCCUCGUGCAGUAUGAAGUCCCUCGGUUUGUAAACUGCUUUUGUACAGAACGAAAAGGUUUCUACUAAUACAAGGAGCUCAUAACGGUACUGUAAGAAUAAGCACCGUCUAACUACGUGCCAGCCGCCGCAGUAA